Molecule: RNA transcript, 4773 nt
Organism: Ictalurus furcatus (blue catfish)
Lineage: Eukaryota; Metazoa; Chordata; Actinopteri; Siluriformes; Ictaluridae
Gene: rbm14a
Gene name: RNA binding motif protein 14a
Exons: 5
Source: RefSeq, a predicted model, not a curated record
AUGCAGACACUACCUGUGAACGUGCCCCUUUCUAUGCAGAAGCUGGGGUAGUCUGCUUCUCAGUGUUGAUUGUUUCAUGGACUGGGUGGGAGUGUGUUUUCUCAUGAUGUCACAGCUUGGCCAGAAUUCCUCCCUUUCACCAUCAGCUCCACUGUGUCCAGUCUGAACCAGAGUACUGAGCCUUAAUUAGUUAUGCUCACCUCUGUAGUGAUUCUGUUCCCCAGUCCAUCCAGGCAUUAGGAAUUUUGUGAUCGUAGAAAGUAAUGCAAAAUCAAAGAAACUCCGCAGUAUUUGCAGGAAUUUCCUAUUUUUCAAAAUUACCACAGAUUUGGGCCAUGACAUGUUGUUCCGUCAUCACGAUGCUUUUUGAGCCAAAGCCCCCUUUGAUUGAUGUGUGUAUGCAAAACAAUUUUGUGCAAUUGCAAUUUCGCCAAUUUAAGUAGUUUUCCGCAAUAAAAACAAAACACCAAAAAAUCUGCAAUUUUGCAUCACAUAUUUUGAAAAAAGCUUUUUUUGACUGCUGCUAUCACAAAAAAAACGUCCCAGAAAUCCCGGCUCCUGCCACACUACACAGCUGCAUAAAAUAACCAAUGAUGAUUUUGUUUGAUUUUACGUUGAUGUGAGAAUCUUCCUGUGAUUUUUGCUAUAUGAGCUGUUUAUCUAAAAGAUAUUAAUAAUCUGCCCCUCUUGUAGGUUCUACGUCUCCAAUGAUACCAAAGUGCUCUUAGGUUCUCUUUAUUACUGGUUGCAAAACAGAAAUUCCAGGCUAAUAUCUCUCUUAUAAAAUUUUGUAUUAGAGCUAGGUUGUUCUGUACAAAUAAGUAGAAAAUGAGCCAUGUUCCCCAUUUCUAGGUUUUUUUUGCUUGGCCCAAUGGACGACAGCAGUGUGGUGAAGCUCUUUGUUGGGAAUCUGGCAUUGGAAACAACACAAGAUGACCUAAUAGCACUUUUUGCCCCUUAUGGAAAGCUGGAGACCAUUACUUUACUGAGGCAGUUUGCCUUUGUCCAUCUGCAGGGAGAAGGGGCUGCUGACUAUGCCAUCCGUGGUCUGAACGGUAUAGAGUUUCGUGGUCGCACCCUUGUUGUCGAAGAGUCUCGAGGAAGGCCUCAGAACUCUAUCAAAGUAUAUGUGGGGAACCUGAGUGCUCUGUGCACUACUGAUGAACUGCACGAACUGUUCUCUCGUUUCGGCAACGUCUUGGAGUGUGAAAAAGUGAAAACCAAACCCAACUCCUCAGUAGGUUAUACUUUUAUACACAUGGAGCAUCAAGAAAAUGCAGAGAGCGCCAUCGAGGCCCUCCACGGAACCUCCUACAUGGGCCGUCCACUCUCUGUGGAACUCUCAAAAGUCCAGCAAGCUAAGCCAGCCGCCAUGUCCAAGGUGCCCUGUGCACGUUGCGGGACACAGGGACACUUCGCAGGUGAGUGUCCCACCAGGCCGCCCAUGGAGCACCACCAGAGUCAGGCAGCCGUGCUUGCUGCUGCUGCCGCCGCUGCUGCUGGACUUCCGAUUCAAGUACAACAGAGCGUGCACAACUCUUUCUUUAACACCAACACCUCUGAUCCGACAUACGCAGCCCUAAAGGGUCUGACUGAAGCCAGUGGGUCGAGUGGUAAGCCAGUGAGCGCUGCAGUUUAUGGCGCCCUGGCAAGUCAAGUGUACGGUGCUGUGGCUGAUCAGGUCGUUAGCCAGGGAACAGAUGAUUCAGGCUACCCAGCUGCAGGAGAGACACCAUCAGCCACUGCAACCAUGAACCCUGCCUAUGGAACAAACUCCUCGGCAUAUGCAGGCCCUGCCUAUGGGACCAUGGGUGGGGCGGAGCCUGACCCGCAAGCCGUAUUUGAAGCCGCUCGGCAGCGAUUCAUCGAGCAGGGCCAGCAAGUGUUGGCUGAGCAGCAGGCCAUUACCAAAUCAGACCGGGACCGGAGCCCAGUGAGACGUUCUGCUCUGUUACCCGACCCUGUUCCUCAGCCGAUCAGUGCGGCGAGACCCAAACGCCGUGCUCUGCUGCCCACACCGCCUGGAGGACCCGAACUGCCUGCUAUUAAAGAGGGAGACCCUAUUGCGAGGUGCUAUGCAGAGUAUGUCCAGCAGUACCAACAGUACCAGCAAUACCAUCAGUACCAUCAGUAUCAACAGUACCAGUACUACUAUCCACCACCGCCGCCGCCCCCACCACCGCAGAUGCCCACCAUGCCCAUGCCACCUACAGGGCCGAUGGAUGCCAAUCACUUGGCGGCUCCUGGAACCGGCGCAUCUCCAAGAGCAAUGCACCUCAGACUGUCUUCAGUCUUUCAUUCCAACGCUGAGAGAUGGUGGGGUACUCGCACAAACACAAACACACACAUGCACAACAUGGUCUCACUGACCUCUAUUGGCCUGGAUACAGCAAACCUUUUGUAACAUAAUAGGCAACAGAUUGAAAUGACCUGCAGUAAUUCGAUUAAGGAUUACCAUUUGUAUUUUUCAGUGUAUUAUGUUAGGGGGUUGCUUUUGUUGUGUGUAAUUAACACGUUUCUGAAAGACACCUGAUAGAAAGCUUGCAGUGCCUCCUAAGUGUAUCCAGGCCCUGAUGUUUAAAAGACUCAAAAGGCAGAUAUUAUAUUGGAGUGGUCAUUGUUUUCACUCAUAACCUUUAGUGGAAUGGUGAUGGAAGGGUAGCUCUUUAUAGUGCAUCAGGCUUCCACACAUUAACGCUAAAUGUCUGUAAAUUUUUGCUAGAAAUAGUGCAUGACUGGUUACUCGUACUGUUCUUCCAGCCACAUUUUCCCUUUUCGCUAACUACAGCUAAAAUGGCUCCCGGGCCUCAGGACGCCAAGUUGCACAUGACGGGGGAAGAGAAUUAGAGUCCCACAGUGGCAUGGAUGCACUCCCCAGAAAGCAUUUUCAGUAAGACGAGACGAGAUGCGUGCACACGCUCACAACUGAGGUUCCUUGGCUGUGCUUUGAACUGUUAAGAAGACAGCACAGCUUUAAGUGGGGCGCAGUGCAAUCCAAAAGGAAAGAGGUGGGGCUGUCGCCUGGUAGGUGAGUAACCAGUGCGCCACUGUCCCACUCAAAUCUAUCCCUGCCCUCAAACCCAAACACUUCACAUGCCCCAUCACGCCACCCUUUAAAUAUUCUGUACAUCUCCAACUUCAAGCACAUGCCUCAGGGAACGAGUUCACCUACAGAAAGUAGUCAGGACCAGAGUUGCGUAUGAAGACUGAUGCAGAAAUUUAAAUGACUUAAAAACAUUUGUUUAAAAACCUUUUGAAAAGGAUUCGGUUGGGUACCUGGAGUUCUGACUGGACCAGAGUUUAGACCUUGUAACUCGUCGUUAAAUAGUCGCGUCCAACCUCUCUUGAUUUUACAGAUUAACAGUACAUGAGUGAAGCUUGAUGUCAGUUUUGAUAGUUAAAAUUUGUGUUUCCUCAUUGUCCAUGAUGUAUUUGCAGCUUCUACUUCGUAUUUCUUUCACUGAUGACGUGUGUGUAUAUAUGCUGUGAUUUGAACAACAUGAGUGUGGUUUGCACACGUAAAGCAUUGCUUAUGAUUAAUUUAGGUCACAAAAUAAUUAUUCAGGGAAUAUGCUUUAGUUGAGCUAAAUGCUACCACUUUUACUGAGAUUGGUUUUAUUCUUUUGCUACUGUCCCAGCAAAAAAAAAUAGUCAAGUCUUUGUAGUCCUUCUCUAAUCUUGUAAAACUAAAUUAAAUGCAUUUAUAAAAACGACAUUGGUGUGUGUUUUUCAUUUGUCGAGAGGUCAUAACCAUUAGUGCAUUGUACACUAUUUCCAGAGGAUAUUUUUGACAAAGGUCUGCUGUACAAGCAGAGUGUAAAGAAAGAGGCUUGCGAACAGUGUCCAUUCUGCUGGGAAAGCUGGUCUGAUGUCUACUACCUAAAAUAAGGAACACACCUUGAUCAGAAUCUUUGAAACAUAUCAAGUAGCUUUUCAUGACAAUUUAUAAGGAAUGGAAGAAAACCAUAAGGAAAUAUAAGUUUUAGUCCAAAUAAUUUAGAUAAAAAUGUACACACACUGUUCACAUUAUUAGGAACACUGGUACACCUGCACAUCAUGCAGUAAACUCUCCCAGGACAUCAGCCGUUUCUGAAAUACUCAAACCAGUCCAUCUGGUACCAGUAUCCAUGCCACAAUCAGGGUCACAGAGAUCGCACUUUUUCUUCAUUCUGAUGUUUGAUGUGAACAUUAACUGAAGCUCUUUACCUGUAUCUGCAUGAUUUUAUGCAUUGCGCUGCUGCCCUAUGAUUGGCUGAUUAGAUAAUGGCAUGAAUGUGCAGGUGUUCUGAAUAAAGUGGAUGGUGAGUGUAUAUAGUUAUUUAUGUAAAAAUAACCAAUGCUGUAUAUUUCUAAAUAUAUAUUCUAAAAUUUAGCAGUUUAUCCAAUGUAGUUUAACUUUUUUUUUUUUUUAACACGCACAACAAAAACUUAGACCCAAUUAAUUUUUUUCCAUUGUGGCACAGGUGAAGCAAAGCAUUCUUCCCAGGUUUCGUGCUAAUCAAAUUAAAAAUGCUCAAAGUCAUUGUUUAAGUUUUGAUUUUCAGUAAGUUUAGUUGUAAAGUUAAGCACAGUAAUAAAUACAUGCCUACCCUAAAUCACUAUUUAUGCUUGUCAUGGUUGCAUCCUAUCAUGAAUAGUAAUCAGGCACGUUUGGAAGUGAAUAGUGAUUACAUUUUGGACUGAAUCUGUAUUCGAGACCAGUUUUGGGUAGUUACUCAAAAAAAGUAAUCCACUACAGAUUACUAAUUACUACUUUAAAAUUAUAAUCUGAUU